Empidonax traillii (willow flycatcher) is the source of this 176-nucleotide long non-coding RNA. RefSeq lists it as uncharacterized. NCBI's taxonomy places the organism in Eukaryota, Metazoa, Chordata, Aves, Passeriformes, Tyrannidae. The transcript has 3 exons. The record is from RefSeq and is a predicted model, not a curated record.
GGAUCCUUGACUCUCAGAUACAGUCGAUGCCAAAAUCAGUUGACUAUACCCGAAAAAGAACAAGGGUGAGAAGUAAAUUGAAAGUGCUUCCAAUGUCUUCUGCAAGUAGUGGCAGUGACCACGAGUCAAAGAAGGAGGGAGAAUCAAGGCAAAGAACUAAAAAGGAGACACUAAGG